GCUCUGAUAGCUCAGCUGGAUAGAGCACUUCCCUCCUAAGGAAGGGGUCGGGCGUUCGAAUCGCCCUCGGGGCAGCA
Molecule: transfer RNA, 77 nt
Filed under: Sphaerochaeta sp.
Lineage: Bacteria; Pseudomonadati; Spirochaetota; Spirochaetia; Spirochaetales; Sphaerochaetaceae
Description: tRNA-Arg
Rfam family: tRNA
About the family: Transfer RNA (tRNA) molecules are approximately 80 nucleotides in length. Their secondary structure includes four short double-helical elements and three loops (D, anti-codon, and T loops).
Source: RNAcentral